CAUAUAUCCAGAUAGCCUCGAUCUGAGUGCAUAUUUUUGGCGAAUAGCGCUCAGAUCCCAUACUCAUAGUUCAAUCGCCAUGGAGUCAAAGUCUCUUACAGUAUUUCGGUAUGCGAUUGACUCCAUGGGAAGGCUAUCUGGGUUAAGUCCAUUCGUGCAUUUCAAACUGCCGAUGUUCGUGGGCUUCUGUCGAUUGAGAAGGGAGGUCGGUGGCUUCAGC
This is a non-coding RNA of Pelobates cultripes (western spadefoot toad), 220 nucleotides long. Lineage: Eukaryota; Metazoa; Chordata; Amphibia; Anura; Pelobatidae. The record is from the annotation of a GenBank genome assembly.